GACGAACGCUGGCGGCGUGCUUAACACAUGCAAGUCGAACGAUGAAGAAGAGAAACGCGAACUUCGGUUCAAAUUUCACUUCGGAUUAGUGGCAGACGGGUGAGUAACGCGUGAGCAACCUACCUCUUACAAAGGGAUAGCCUCGGGAAACCGUGAUUAAUACCAUAUGACACAUUCAUAAGGCAUCUUAAGAAUGUUAAAGCUACGGCGGUAAGAGAUGGGCUCGCGUCCCAUUAGCUAGUUGGUGAGGUAACGGCCCACCAAGGCGACGAUGGGUAACCGGCCUGAGAGGGUGAACGGUCACAUUGGAACUGAGACACGGUCCAAACUCCUACGGGAGGCAGCAGUGGGGAAUAUUGCACAAUGGAGGGAACGCUGAUGCAGCGACGCCGCGUGAGCGAUGAAGGAAUUCGUUUCGUAAAGCUCUGUUCUAUGGGAAGAAAAGGACUGUACCAUAGGAGAAAGCCCCGGCUAAAUACGUG
Molecule: ribosomal RNA, 482 nt
Filed under: uncultured bacterium
Lineage: Bacteria
Description: partial 16S ribosomal RNA
Rfam family: Bacterial small subunit ribosomal RNA
Source: RNAcentral